Non-coding RNA from Balearica regulorum gibbericeps (East African grey crowned-crane), 324 nucleotides. The record is from RefSeq and is a predicted model, not a curated record. NCBI's taxonomy places the organism in Eukaryota, Metazoa, Chordata, Aves, Gruiformes, Gruidae.
UGGGAUGAAGCUCUCUUAACCAUGAGUAAAGGAGAGAAGGCUCAGCUGGAAAUUGAACCUGAGUGGGCAUACGGCAAGAAAGGGCAGCCCGAUGCCAAGAUUCCACCAAAUGCAAAACUUUUCUUUGAAGUGGAAUUGGUGGAUAUUGAAUGAAAUGAAGUUUCCUUCGCUGCUGGGAAUUUAUUUACGAUCAAGAAAGCUUCUGGCAACUGCAGUUUUGCUCUUGUAACUUCAGGAUAUAGUUACAACUGUGGCCUUGUAUUGAAAUCAAGUUGUUUUCCCUGUACAGUAACAUACCACUAAAGAAAACAUAGUUUAUACAUG